AGUGUGUAGAGUUGGAGGAAGUGCUCUGAAAGCAGCGCUUGAGCUCUUCCUGCAGUUGCAGGGAUGAAUGCAUGAAUGCAAGAGAAGAAAAUGGCGAUCGAGCAGGACAAAUGUUUCCCCUCCUAGACUCUGCAAAUGUGUUGAAUUUCUAUAGCCUUAUUAUUUGCUUUCAUUUAAUCUCUACUGCACUUUAAACUACAAGAGAGAAUUGGAUGCUAUUGCCACCAAAGACAUUGAAGAGAAGCAACACAGGGAAAUCAUUCGAAACACGGAUGGAGAGUGGACGGAGGAAAGUGUAGAGCUCAUUGGAAUGACGAUAAGGAAGAAGGGGCUGGU
Long non-coding RNA from Sinocyclocheilus rhinocerous, 336 nucleotides. RefSeq lists it as uncharacterized. The transcript has 3 exons. NCBI's taxonomy places the organism in Eukaryota, Metazoa, Chordata, Actinopteri, Cypriniformes, Cyprinidae. The record is from RefSeq and is a predicted model, not a curated record.